UGACAAUAGAUGCUUGGGUCCCUU
Molecule: unclassified non-coding RNA, 24 nt
Filed under: Mus musculus (house mouse)
Lineage: Eukaryota; Metazoa; Chordata; Mammalia; Rodentia; Muridae
Description: oocyte_clustered_small_RNA1665
Source: RNAcentral